ACGCUGGCGGCGUGCUUAACACAUGCAAGUCGAACGAAAAUACCAAGCUUGCUUGGUUGAUUAGUGGCGAACGGGUGAGUAACACGUGAGUAACCUGCCCCUUACUUUCCUGGAUAACUGCUCGAAAGGGUAGCUAAUACGGGAUAUUCUGACCUGCCUGCAUGGGUUGGUUUGGAAAGGUUGUUUUUCUGGUAAGGGAUGGGCUCGCGGCCUAUCAGCUUGUUGGUGGGGUGAUGGCCUACCAAGGCUUUGACGGGUAGCCGGCCUGAGAGGGUGGACGGUCACACUGGGACUGAGAUACGGCCCAGACUCCUACGGGAGGCAGCAGUGGGGAAUAUUGCACAAUGGGCGCAAGCCUGAUGCAGCGACGCCGCGUGAGGGAUGAAGGCCUUCGGGUUGUAAACCUCUUUCGUCAGGGAACAAGGCACUGCUUUGGUGGUGUUGAGGGUACCUGGAUAAGAAGCGCCGGCUAACUACGUGCCAGCAGCCGCGGUAAUACGUAGGGCGCAAGCGUUGUCCGGAAUUAUUGGGCGUAAAGAGCUCGUAGGCGGCUGGUCGCGUCUGUCGUGAAAACUUCCGGCUCAACCGGGGGCUUGCGGUGGGUACGGGCCGGCUAGAGUGCGGUAGGGGUAACUGGAACUCCUGGUGUAGCGGUGGAAUGCGCAGAUAUCAGGAAGAACACCGAUGGCGAAGGCAGGUUACUGGGCCGUUACUGACGCUGAGGAGCGAAAGCGUGGGGAGCGAACAGGAUUAGAUACCCUGGUAGUCCACGCUGUAAACGUUGGGCACUAGGUGUGAGGCUCCUUUCCGGGGGUUUUGCGCCGUAGCUAACGCAUUAAGUGCCCCGCCUGGGGAGUACGGCCGCAAGGCUAAAACUCAAAGGAAUUGACGGGGGCCCGCACAAGCGGCGGAGCAUGCGGAUUAAUUCGAUGCAAC
RNAcentral lists this ribosomal RNA (936 nucleotides) under uncultured bacterium. Its description in RNAcentral is "bacterial SSU rRNA". It matches the Rfam family "Bacterial small subunit ribosomal RNA", at positions 33 to 960 of the family's 1533-position model. The record is from RNAcentral.